Molecule: long non-coding RNA, 1105 nt
Filed under: Musa acuminata (dwarf banana)
Lineage: Eukaryota; Viridiplantae; Streptophyta; Magnoliopsida; Zingiberales; Musaceae
Description: long non-coding RNA (MACU_LNC002318)
Source: RNAcentral
GAUAUAUGACUAUGGUUUUUAAGGAAUAUUUGAAAGCACUAUGACUUGGUAGCCAGAAUUGAAUCUCUGGUACAAGGAAGACAUACCUGAUUUGAGCUCCAUCACCUGAACAGAAAACAUUACCAAACACAAAAAACAAAUCAACCGCGAGAAAAUAUAACAGAAAUUACGACUAACCCUUUUGGCCGGUUGAUUAGCUCUUCCAUUUGCAGCUUUAGAAACAGUCCUCUCAGAAAACAAUCGAGCACGAAGGAACUCGAUGGUCAUUGCUGUUGAAUCACUCGUGAUGUCUAUCAGAGAAACCAAGAUUCUAAUUCCUGUGAAAUAUCUUUUUCCUGCACAAUCAGCAUAAGAUAAUCAGGGCAAGUAAAAUGGACAGCAGAGGAAAAGCAAUACUACCAAACAGUAGAAUCAAGCAAGCGCAACUGAUGAAAUCAACAGCUAACAUCUAAACCUAUCAUCCUGACUUGAGAUCACAAUAAACUUCCCUCCUUAUCAGCACAGUUCGAUUCACUCGAUCAGUACUAUUGGCUAGUCGGGUUGCUAAGAACUAUGUUAAAGGGAUGCAGAUCCGGCGCGUCUCCCGAACGAGAUCGAAGAACUAAACCCACAAGAAACACAGAAUCCAAGAACGCAAUGGAUUCAAACAAUCAUAAGAGCCAAAUCAUCCCAAGCGAUCAACCAAAGCCCUAGUCAGUUUGAGAGAGGAAAUCCCACUAGCCACUCGACGAACCAAUUCACAACAAGAAGAAUCAGCGUUGGGAAGGCAAAUAAACAAAUCAACAAUCAAACAAAAGAAAAGAUCGAGAUGUCCAUGUGUACCUUCGAUUUCUUCCCGCAGCUUCUCUGCUCUAUUUGUGAGUCGGUGGCGGACCAGAUAUAUUAAGUGGAUCGAAGAAUAAUCAAUGGCUUGUAUAGUGCCAUAAAAAUUCUCGGCAUUUCUUCUGAGUUUUUAUUUGGGCUUCUUUGAACUGCUCAGCUACAAGUUAUUAUUCGAUCUCGAUGAUGGUUCGAAUCCUCGCUACAACUACUUAUGUUCCAUCAAAUAUGUGGAAUGGCGAGAAAUAUUAGCAUUAAUCAGCAUUAGUAUCAUCAUGACCAAAUU